This 1944-nucleotide ribosomal RNA is filed under the name Nannoniscus sp. D3D054. Its description in RNAcentral is "SSU rRNA". It matches the Rfam family "Eukaryotic small subunit ribosomal RNA". Lineage: Eukaryota; Metazoa; Arthropoda; Malacostraca; Isopoda; Nannoniscidae. The record is from RNAcentral.
CAUAUGCUUGUCUCAAAGAUUAAGCCAUGCAUGUCUGAGUACAGACCGAUCUAAGGUGAAACCGCGAAUGGCUCAUUAAAUCAGUCAUAAUUCCUUGGGUAGUGAAAAACUUUCCUCGGAUAACUGUGGAAAAUCCAGAGCUAAUACGUGCAACUGAGCUCCGACCUCGACGCAAGUCUUGGGAAGAGCGCAUUUAUUAGUUUCAAAACUGACCGGUGUACUCCUUCGGGAUAUGCCGUUUGUCAAUUGAUGACUCCGGAUAACUAAGCCGAGCGCUACGGUCUCUAGUACCGGCGCCGUAUCUUUCAAGUGUCUGCCUUAUCAGCUUUCGAUUGUAGGUUAAACGCCUACAAUGGCUGUAACGGGUAACGGGGAAUCAGGGUUCGAUUCCGGAGAGGGAGCCUGAGAAACGGCUACCACAUCUAAGGAAGGCAGCAGGCACGCAAAUUACCCACUCCUAGCCCAGGGAGGUAGUGACGAAAAAUAACGAUGCGAGACUCUUCCGAGGCCUCGCAAUCGGAAUGAGUCUAUUAUAAAUUUAUGGACGAGGAUCCAUUGGAGGGCAAGUCUGGUGCCAGCAGCCGCGGUAAUUCCAGCUCCAAUAGCGUAUAUUAAAGUUGCUGCGGUUAAAAAGCUCGUAGUUGGACUUACUAAACCAAUUCGUGGGAGAGUCGCUCUUUGUACUAACGUUUCGCGCGGUUCCAAGUUUCCGUGAUUUCUGGGAUUCGUUACGGCCGUGGACGGUGCGUUGUCAUCGGGUAUAGCUCGUCCGCGUUUGGUACAAUUAAAAUUUUGUCGGCUCGCUCGGAGUGCUCUUUACCGAGUGUUCCAGGGUGGCUGACACGUUCACUUUGAAAAAAUUAGAGUGCUUAAAGCGUGCCUAUAAGGGCAUGAAUGUCUGUGCAUGGAAUGAAGUAACAGGACCUCGAUUCUGUUGUUUUUGUCGGUUUUAAUGAACCGAGGUAAUGAUUAAAAGGGACAGACGGUGGCAUUAGUAUUGCGGCGCUAGAGGUGAAAUUCUUGGACCGUCGCAAGACUAACUACUGCGAAAGCAUUUGCCGAGAAUGUUUUCAUUAAUCAAGAACGAAAGUUAGAGGAUCGAAGGCGAUCAGAUACCGCCCUAGUUCUAACCCUAAACUAUGCUAACUAGCGAUCCGCCGGAGUCAUUCCCACGACCCGGCGGGAAGCCCCAGGGAAACCAAAGUCUUUGAGUUCCGGGGGAAGUAUGGUUGCAAAGCUGAAACUUAAAGGAAUUGACGGAAGGGCACCACCAGGAGUGGAGCCUGCGGCUUAAUUUGACUCAACACGGGAAACCUCACCAGGCCCGGACAUCAUAAGGAUUGACAGGUUGAGAGCUCUUUCUCGAUUUGAUGGGUGGUGGUGCAUGGCCGUUCUUAGUUGGUGGAGUGAUCUGUCUGGUUGAUUCCGAUAACGAACGAGACUCUACCUUACUAACUAGUCGGCGGAUCGUAACCCUGAGAUGGUUUUGUAGGUUGGGCCUAGACCGUAUGGUUACGGCUCUUUCCGAUACUGGGGGCGUCCGUCGCAAUAUAUCUUCUUAGAAGGAUCAGCGGCGUAUAGCCGUACGAGAAAGAGCAAUAACAGGUCUGUGAUGCCCUUAGAUGUUCUGGGCCGCACGCGCGCUACAAUGUACGGACCAGCGUGCUUUCCCCCUCCGAAAGGAAGGGUAACCCGUUGAAACCCGCACCCGAUUGGGAUUGGGGAUUGCAAAUAUUUCCCAUAAACGAGGAAUUCCCAGUAAGCGCGAGUCACUAACUCGCGCUGAUUACGUCCCUGCCCUUUGUACACACCGCCCGUCGCUACUACCGAUUGAAUGAUUCAGUGAGGGCAUCGGACUGGCCCUUCGGUUUUGAAAUAGACCUUAGGCUGACGGAAUGUCCGAACUCGAUCAUUUAGAGGAAGUAAAAGUCGUAACAAGGUUUC